GCUCAAAUAAAUUUGUUAGUCUCUAAGGUGACGCAAGUACUCCUGUUCUUUUUGCGGAUACAGACUAAUACAGCUGCGACUCUGAAACCUAUCAAUUUAAUUAUAUGCAGUAAGUGUCAUGAUA
Long non-coding RNA from Gopherus evgoodei (Goodes thornscrub tortoise), 124 nucleotides. RefSeq lists it as uncharacterized. The transcript has 3 exons. Lineage: Eukaryota; Metazoa; Chordata; Testudines; Testudinidae. The record is from RefSeq and is a predicted model, not a curated record.